Molecule: long non-coding RNA, 453 nt
Filed under: Setaria italica (foxtail millet)
Lineage: Eukaryota; Viridiplantae; Streptophyta; Magnoliopsida; Poales; Poaceae
Description: long non-coding RNA (SITA_LNC004240)
Source: RNAcentral
GGCGGCUCCGGCGACGAGCGGUAGCGGGAGCGGGAGCAUCGUGCUGUCAGAGGGCGCGUCGUCCUCCUCCUCCUCCUCUCGGGACUCUCCGCUGGCACCGAGUCUGGCGCUUCCGGCCACGGCCGCCGCGCAGCCCUGCCAUCUGUUCCUGGACCCAACGACGACGACGGUGAUGGUCGUGGCGCCGGCGCUGCUGCAGUUCCUGCCGCCGAAGAGCGAGGAGGAGCAUAGCUUCGCAGGGUCGAGCUCCUCGCCGCCCGUGGUGUUUGACUCGGCGCCGCCGGCCGUGGGCCUGGGGCUGGACCUGAACCUGGCGCUGCCGGCGCCAGGGACGAUGGUGGUGUAGCGGACAGACUAAUCAAUUGGUUAAUUGCAUACAGUAGGAAUUAGCUGAUGAUGGAUCCAGAUGCCAUCAGGCCAGUGUAAAAUAGGCUGCAGAUUUGUGAACGCAGC